CAGACUGGCGACCUGUCCAGGGUGUACCCUGCCUCUCGCCCUAUGACAGCUGGGAUAGGCUCCAGCGCCCCCCACGACCCUGAAAAGGAUAAGCGGAAGUGAAUGGAUGGAUACUGCAACCAGUACAUCAGUGACAGCAUUCCCCAACCAGCUGCAUGGGGAAAAAAAACCACACCCGCAGAGGAGCAGCCAUCUGGUGUGACUGGCUGGAAGGAAGUGAUUUUUACCAGCAGCAGGACCAGGAACAACAGAAGAAAGUGUUGACUGGAAACCCAGCAACAACUCCCCACACAGGUUUGACUUCUCUCUUUACAGUCAAUGAAUAAAAAUGUCAACAUGCUGACACCACAGCAUGUGUUUGGUUUUGAGCUUCUUUCAUGUAUCAUCUUACUUUCACUAUUGGUUGUCUUUACUGAGAUUAUCCUUUUAAACAAAUUGACAAAUAUUAAAUAUGGUUUUCCAUAAAUAAGGUGUCCUUGCAAUCAUAAAGCAAAAUCUAUUAAUCCAAUCUUCAAUGUUUAGUUUUAGCUAGUCAAUUUCAAAGCCAAGUUUAUGUCAUACAUGGAAGGUGGAGCAAUACGUUUUAGUUAAUCACUUCAUUUUAUUAAUGAAUUAUCAUUCAGAAGCAUUGCUUCGCAUUGUUUAUUUCACAUGUUACUUAUAAUUUUUCUAUUACAAAUAAUAUCACAUAAGGACCACUUACAUGUGUACAACUGCUUUUGGACUACACAAAACAUCUUUAUUGAAAUAAAUCAUUGGCACUGACACUUCAAUUCAAUUCUGUUUUAUUUAUAUAACAGGUGUCAAACUCCUGUCCUCGAGGGCCGGUGUCCGGAAACUUUUCCAUGUGUCGCAGCUGCAACACACCUGAAUGCAAUUAGUAGGACAUUAGCAAGACUCUAUAGCACUUGACUGCAUGCUGAGGUGACAAUUCAGCCAUUUGAUUCGUGUUACAGCAGCUCAUGAAUAAAUGAA
Long non-coding RNA from Oreochromis niloticus (Nile tilapia), 975 nucleotides. RefSeq lists it as uncharacterized. The transcript has 3 exons. NCBI's taxonomy places the organism in Eukaryota, Metazoa, Chordata, Actinopteri, Cichliformes, Cichlidae. The record is from RefSeq and is a predicted model, not a curated record.